UAGUGGCGAACGGGUGAGUAACACGUGAGUAACCUGCCCUUGACUCUGGGAUAACCUCCGGAAACGGAAGCUAAUACCGGAUAUGACGCACGGAGGCAUCUCCUGUGCGUGGAAAGAAUUUCGGUCAAGGAUGGACUCGCGGCCUAUCAGGUAGUUGGUGAGGUAACGGCCCACCAAGCCUACGACGGGUAGCCGGCCUGAGAGGGUGACCGGCCACACUGGGACUGAGACACGGCCCAGACUCCUACGGGAGGCAGCAGUGGGGAAUAUUGCACAAUGGGCGCAAGCCUGAUGCAGCAACGCCGCGUGAGGGACGACGGCCUUCGGGUUGUAAACCUCUUUUAGUAGGGAAGAAGCGAAAGUGACGGUACCUGCAGAAAAAGCACCGGCUAACUACGUGCCAGCAGCCGCGGUAAUACGUAGGGUGCGAGCGUUGUCCGGAAUUAUUGGGCGUAAAGAGCUCGUAGGCGGUCUGUCGCGUCUGCUGUGAAAUCCCGAGGCUCAACCUCGGGCCUGCAGUGGGUACGGGCAGACUAGAGUGCGGUAGGGGAGAAUGGAAUUCCUGGUGUAGCGGUGGAAUGCGCAGAUAUCAGGAGGAACACCGAUGGCGAAGGCAGUUCUCUGGGCCGUAACUGACGCUG
This 641-nucleotide ribosomal RNA is filed under the name Leifsonia sp. I13A-01692. Its description in RNAcentral is "bacterial SSU rRNA". It matches the Rfam family "Bacterial small subunit ribosomal RNA", at positions 93 to 748 of the family's 1533-position model. The record is from RNAcentral. Lineage: Bacteria; Bacillati; Actinomycetota; Actinomycetes; Micrococcales; Microbacteriaceae.